GCUCUCUGCGCUUCGCUCCGGCUGGGAUCCUCCUUUGGACAAAGUGGCCUGGAAACAUCACAUUGCUGUGACUCAGCAGAGGACCUUUUUCUGGAGAGGCACUCCACCUGAGGUCAGCCUGGAUCCAUCCACACACCAUCUACACAGGCAGGCAGCACCCUUAAGAGUAGAUUGGGUUGAAGUUGGCAAGACCUAAGUGGCUUGAAGCAGAGACAGAUACGAU
This 223-nucleotide long non-coding RNA is filed under the name Chrysolophus pictus (golden pheasant). Its description in RNAcentral is "lncRNA (ENSCPIG00010003411.1)". The record is from RNAcentral. Lineage: Eukaryota; Metazoa; Chordata; Aves; Galliformes; Phasianidae.